Molecule: ribosomal RNA, 274 nt
Filed under: uncultured bacterium
Lineage: Bacteria
Description: partial 16S ribosomal RNA
Rfam family: Bacterial small subunit ribosomal RNA
Source: RNAcentral
AUACGGAGGGUGCGAGCGUUAAUCGGAAUUACUGGGCGUAAAGCGUGCGUAGGCGGUUUGUUAAGUCAGAAGUGAAAGCCCUGGGCUCAACCUGGGAACGGCUUUUAAGACUGGCAGACUCGAGUUGAGUAGAGGGGAGUGGAAUUUCCGGUGUAGCGGUGAAAUGCGUAGAGAUCGGAAGGAACACCAGUGGCGAAGGCGACUCCCUGGACUCAAACUGACGCUGAGGUACGAAAGCGUGGGUAGCAAACAGGAUUAGAAACCCUAGUAGUCC